This 353-nucleotide ribosomal RNA is filed under the name uncultured bacterium. RNAcentral describes it as "bacterial SSU rRNA". It matches the Rfam family "Bacterial small subunit ribosomal RNA", at positions 29 to 409 of the family's 1533-position model. The record is from RNAcentral.
AACGAACGCUGGCGGCAUGCCUAACACAUGCAAGUCGAACGAGACCUUCGGGUCUAGUGGCGCACGGGUGCGUAACGCGUGGGAAUCUGCCCUUAGGUACGGAAUAACUCAGGGAAACUUGAGCUAAUACCGUAUAAUGACUCCGGUCCAAAGAUUUAUCGCCUAAGGAUGAGCCCGCGUCGGAUUAGCUAGUUGGUGAGGUAAAAGCUCACCAAGGCGACGAUCCGUAGCGGUCUGAGAGGAUGAUCAGCCACACUGGGACUGAGACACGGCCCAGACUCCUACGGGAGGCAGCAGUGGGGAAGUAUUGGACAAUGGGCGAAAGCCUGAUCCAGCAAUGCCGCGUGAGUGAU